CGCAGCCGCGGUAAUUCCAGCUCCAAUAGCGUAUAUUAAAGUUGCUGCAGUUAAAAAGCUCGUAGUUGAAUUUCGGGACCAAUAUGUUGGUCGUGCCUCGGUACGUACUGGCAUUGUUGGUUUCUACCUUCUGACGAACCAUGAUGUCAUUAAUUUGGUGUCUUGGGGAAUCAGGACUGUUACUUUGAAAAAAUUAGAGUGUUUAAAGCAGGCUCACGCUUGAAUACAUUAGCAUGGAAUAAUGAAAUAGGACGUUUGAUUCUAUUUUGUUGGUUUCUAGGAUCGACGUAAUGAUUAAUAGGGAUAGUUGGGGGCAUUAGUAUUCAAUUGUCAGAGGUGAAAUUCUUGGAUUUAUUGAAGACUAACUACUGCGAAAGCAUUUGCCAAGGAUGUUUUCAUUAAUCAAGAACGAAAGUUAGGGGAUCGAAGACGAUCAGAUACCGUCGUAGUCUUAACCAUAAACUAUGCCGACUAGGGAUCGGAUGAUGUUAAUUUUUAAUGUACUCAUUCGGCGCCUUAA
RNAcentral lists this ribosomal RNA (520 nucleotides) under uncultured Glomeromycotina. RNAcentral's name for it is "SSU rRNA". It matches the Rfam family "Eukaryotic small subunit ribosomal RNA", at positions 569 to 1091 of the family's 1831-position model. Lineage: Eukaryota; Fungi; Glomeromycota. The record is from RNAcentral.